UACGGAGGGGGCUAGCGUUGUCCGCAGUUACUGGGCGUAAAGCGCGCGUAGGCGGGUUGGUAAGUCCGCUGUGAAAGCCCGGAGCUCAACUCCGGAGGGUCGGUGGAUACUGCCAGUCUUGAAGGUGCUAGGGGGAGAUGGAAUUACCGGUGUAGCGGUGAAAUGCGUAGAUAUCGGUAGGAACACCAGUGGCGAAGGCGGUCUCCUGGGGCAUUCUUGACGCUGAGGCGCGAAAGCUGGGGGAGCAAACGGG
Molecule: ribosomal RNA, 253 nt
Filed under: uncultured bacterium
Lineage: Bacteria
Description: partial 16S ribosomal RNA
Rfam family: Bacterial small subunit ribosomal RNA
Source: RNAcentral